Non-coding RNA from Cinara cedri, 203 nucleotides. The record is from the annotation of a GenBank genome assembly. NCBI's taxonomy places the organism in Eukaryota, Metazoa, Arthropoda, Insecta, Hemiptera, Aphididae.
GGACGUUUGGUAGGUGACUGUAUAGUUAAACAGUGGAGCCAUCAGCGUAGUCGACGAUGGAAUUUAUAACGAGAGUAUAUUAUAAUUAUAAUUAUUACUGCGGGCGUGGAGAACGAAUAUUUGAACACUCGAAACAUUCAAACGAUUUUCGGCGGAAACUGCGUAUCAUGUAGAUGUAGAUACACAAUGAAGUAUAUUUCCCU